GCUGGGCAUGGUGGCGCGUGCCUGUAAUCCCAGCUACUCAGGAGGCUGAGGCAGGAGAAUUGCCUGAACCCAGGAGGUAGAGGUUGUGGUGAGCUGAGCUUGCGCCAUUGCACUCCAGCCUGGGAAACAAGAGCGAAACUCUGUCUCAAAAAAAAAAAGAAAGAAAUUCCUGUUUAUUUAUUUAUUUGAGAAGGAGUUUUGCUCUUUUUCUCCAAGCUGGAGUGCAAUGGGGUGAUCUCAGCUUGCUGCAACCUCUGCCUUCUGGGUACAACUUAUUCUCCUGCCUCAG
Molecule: signal recognition particle RNA, 289 nt
Filed under: Callithrix jacchus (white-tufted-ear marmoset)
Lineage: Eukaryota; Metazoa; Chordata; Mammalia; Primates; Cebidae
Description: Metazoan signal recognition particle RNA (ENSCJAG00000074393.1)
Rfam family: Metazoan signal recognition particle RNA
About the family: The signal recognition particle (SRP) is a universally conserved ribonucleoprotein. It is involved in the co-translational targeting of proteins to membranes. The eukaryotic SRP consists of a 300-nucleotide 7S RNA and six proteins: SRPs 72, 68, 54, 19, 14, and 9.
Source: RNAcentral